Molecule: long non-coding RNA, 452 nt
Filed under: Elaeis guineensis (African oil palm)
Lineage: Eukaryota; Viridiplantae; Streptophyta; Magnoliopsida; Arecales; Arecaceae
Description: long non-coding RNA (EGUI_LNC037982)
Source: RNAcentral
UUGGGAAUAGUGUCCCAAAGCCAAUCGUCAGCCUGUUGACGGUUGUGCUCCUUUUGUAUUAGUACAUGAAUUAUAAAUAAAUAAAAGUUAUUUUGAUAUUUUUUCAUCACAAAUAUUUCAUCUUCUAAUGAACUCCUGUGUUGUGGUGAAGUCUUUAAGACUAUUUAGACUCGACAAAGGAGGAUUUGUCGUUUAGUCCUUAAACAUGUUCGCGACCAAAUGAUACGUUGUUACCAAGAAUGACAAUAUUUAUCGAGCAUAGGUCGUUGUGUGCCAUAUGGGUUGGUUGUCCUCAUAACCAAAGAGUGUGGAGACACUGGUAUGGCAUACAGGUGAGAUGUAAUGGUACAUCUGCACUGAACGUGACCAACUCCGGAGCUAUUUUUGCUGUCAAGAUUUGCUCCGAUGGGAUAUGGGUAUAAAUAUCCCUCCGACCUGAGACCGCCACGGUG